Vicugna pacos (alpaca) is the source of this 200-nucleotide non-coding RNA. The record is from RefSeq and is a predicted model, not a curated record. NCBI's taxonomy places the organism in Eukaryota, Metazoa, Chordata, Mammalia, Artiodactyla, Camelidae.
GGCCUACGGAGCCAAGCGCUACAAUUACCUGAAACCUCGGGCAGAAGAGGAGAGGAGGAUAGCCGCUGAGGAGAAAAAGAAGCAGGAUGAACUGAAGCGGAUCGAGAGAGAACUGGCAGAAGCCCAAGAGGACAGCAUAUUGAAGUGAGCCUGCGUUUCUCUGGAGCAGCGUGGACGAAUAAAGCCUUCUGUGCUGUGUA